RNAcentral lists this ribosomal RNA (470 nucleotides) under uncultured bacterium. RNAcentral's name for it is "bacterial SSU rRNA". It matches the Rfam family "Bacterial small subunit ribosomal RNA", at positions 30 to 498 of the family's 1533-position model. The record is from RNAcentral.
AUUGAACGCUAGCGGCAGGCUUAACACAUGCAAGUCGAGGGGUAUUGGUUUUCGGACCAAGAGACCGGCGCACGGGUGCGUAACGCGUAUGCAAUCUACCUUUUGCAGAGGGAUAGCCCCAGAGAAAUUUGGAUUAAUACCUCAUAGUAUAGUACUUUGGCAUCAAGGAACUAUUAAAGUCACAACGGCAAAGAUGAGCAUGCGUCCCAUUAGCUAGUUGGUAAGGUAACGGCUUACCAAGGCUACGAUGGGUAGGGGUCCUGAGAGGGAGAUCCCCCACACUGGUACUGAGACACGGACCAGACUCCUACGGGAGGCAGCAGUGAGGAAUAUUGGACAAUGGGCGCAAGCCUGAUCCAGCCAUGCCGCGUGCAGGAUGACGGUCCUAUGGAUUGUAAACUGCUUUUANACAGGAAGAAACACUCCGACGUGUCGGAGCUUUGACGGUACUGUAAGAAUAAGGAUCGGCU